UUCGCCACCGUUCGAACCUGAGACGGAUCGCGUCCGAUGAUUUACGGACCGAGCACUCGGGGCGCCGGCCGCCGGGGUGUCGGGUGACAUAUCACGUGACUCGGUCCAGCGUGUCGCGGUUUGCCGUCGGAUAGCCAUCUAGUUGACGGCUGUUGCUUGUCGCCGUUGGUUUGGUACUAUACGUCGUCGUCGUGUCGUGAGAAAGCAUGCUCGAGCACUGGGGCCGCGCGUGCUUCGUCGUGUCUCUCGUGAUCAUGGGAGGAGUGGUUGUGAGUGGCUUGUACCACUUGCUAUAUCAAGUCAGUCAGGACAUGAACGAAUUGGUGAGUCCAUCUGUCAGGAUGAUGAAUCCCAAAUGAUUGGAUUAAUGAAUUUUAUUGUCUGCCGGGGGGCCCAAACUGUUCCCUUUUCGUUUGAUGGGCCUGGUCUUGUGGACAGACAAGCUCGAUGGGCCGUGUGGAAUCGUCGCUGGGCCGACUUCUUCCAUCCCUGGACGAUGCCGCCCUGGAAGGUGCCCUUACGAACCAAACGGGGCGCAUCCUCGACGCCAUCCGUGCCGCUUUGCGUUACUAACAGGGAUGCGGUGAGGAGGAGUAGACCUGCGUCGUAUAUCCAAGCUCACCACCGACUUCAGUCUCAGUGAGGUCUUUGUUACUUGUGCUGCGAGUGCGACAUUUGCGCCUACCACGCGGGUCUGUGUCAAGUUGAUUUGGUUCCUACAUGUGAAGGCAGCUGUAAUUUGUUUUGCGUCAUGCGUUUCCCGUACUCAAGAAUAGACGUUGUUAUUUGUUUGUC
This is a long non-coding RNA of Amphibalanus amphitrite, 795 nucleotides long. RefSeq lists it as uncharacterized. NCBI's taxonomy places the organism in Eukaryota, Metazoa, Arthropoda, Thecostraca, Balanomorpha, Balanidae. The record is from RefSeq and is a predicted model, not a curated record. The transcript has 2 exons.